CAGAUAUGCAGCAGCAAACAACCCCAACAUUCCAAUUACACAAAACAGCCAUGCCCAUAUUGUAGGUCCGUCCAAACUCCUACGUUUUCUUUCUUGCCAAUAUGCAAUUGUUGCUGCCAUGCCCUCCUUAGAACUUACCAUUGGGACGUAACCAAGUUCCUCUUUUGCUUUUAGGAAAGAGAAGUAAUGAGUGACACCAACCUUGUAGACUUCAGCAGGAAGGAUCAGAGGUUGAGGAAGCCACCUACUAUUCAACCAAGGAUACAGAAAGGAGUAGAAAGCCCAGAAAAUUCUUCCCAGAAGAAGUGCAUGAGAGACAGCUAGUGAUGUCUUUGGUAGAUCAUAAUCCAGGCUUUUCAGUAAAGGGCGAAGGAACUCGAAACUGUUGAUAGGAGAACCAUCUGAUAUAAAAUAAGGUUGACCAGCAGCAAUUGGAUG
This 438-nucleotide unclassified non-coding RNA is filed under the name Hevea brasiliensis (rubber tree). Lineage: Eukaryota; Viridiplantae; Streptophyta; Magnoliopsida; Malpighiales; Euphorbiaceae. The record is from RNAcentral.